RNAcentral lists this long non-coding RNA (1978 nucleotides) under Crocodylus porosus (Australian saltwater crocodile). RNAcentral's name for it is "lncRNA (ENSCPRG00005005440.1)". The record is from RNAcentral. Lineage: Eukaryota; Metazoa; Chordata; Crocodylia; Crocodylidae.
AUGACCAAAAUUUCUGCGCGUGUGUGUGUCCCUGCUUGCUGGGACCAGGGCUGUGAGCAUGCAUCUUUGCACAGAGGGACUCGCAUUCCUGAGCUGUGGGGUGGGAACAGGCGCUGGGGCUUUAACCCUGUCCCCCUGCAGCCCGCAGGGGCUCUGUGGGCUGCCUUGGGGUGGGGCAGAGGAUGGGGUGAGAGGUGCAGAACUCAUGCUUCCUUCUCUCCUCUUCAGGGCAGCAGGGGCACCAUGAUCAUUGCUGUCUGCCUGGUGCUAGGUGCAGUGAUGCUUGCCUUGACCACAGCCACCCCCAACCUCUGCCAGCGUCAGGACAAGCCACCAGGGGUCCCUGCCUGGUACUGCACUGUGCCGGAGGGGGGAGCCACUCGUGUACCCCUGGACACCCCCAGCUGCAUAGUGAUAGUCCGGGCAUGGCUUGCGGAAACGUCGCAUCCAAAAACUGUCCUGGUGUGGCGCCCAGAGGGAUCCAUGCCUCGUGGCUUGAGAAACUUCACUCUGGAGGAUGGUGCCUUCACAGUCCAGAAUAUGGCCCAGCAGCUCUGCGGACGCUAUGAGAUCAGGUGCUCCCUGGAUGAUACUCUCCUGGCCAACAUCACACUGGUGCUGCUUGAGUCUACCUCGCCCUCCCCACCUGUGCACGGACCCGAAUCUCCCCACAGAAUCAUCCCUGGGGACCAGGGUGCAGAAACUUUUCCCAGUUGGGGCAUAGUCCUCAUAGUGCUUGGCAUUGUAGCCGCAGCCACAGCCACAAGUUAUCUGCUGUGCAGAUAUGAGCAUCUCUGCUGGAGCCAUGGGAACCAGAGCAAUGCAGAUGGACAGACGCGCAGCCCCAGGGAGACCCGAACGCCAUUCGCAACCGGUGAACACACGCUUGCCGAUGGUCACUUGCACACAGACCAGCACAGCAUCGCCAGCGGUUUUCUUGGUGGGGAUGACGGAGCAGAGGCUGGAAGCUUUGUCUAGUGCCUUCCCCACCAGCGAAUUCCAGCCCUCGGGUGAUGUGUAUGUGGCCCAAAUGCCUGGGUCCUGUCUGGGCUUGUACAAGGUUCCCUUUCUGCCGGACUCCUACAGCUUGUACAACCGAACAGUGCUGGAGCUAGUGCAGAAGCGGGCAUCCCCAAGCACCUUGCACAGGCAGCAUCAGAACUGCUACCUCUGUACUGUAAGAAGCUGUAUCUGCUUGCCAGUCAGUAAAGAAGAGUUGCUUGUUCCAUGGAACGACCUGAAGUUACACCAAGAAGCCAGGUUGUCUAUGUGGUUCUUGAUGUGUGUGCAUUUCUCAUAGACAAUGAGGGUUGGAAGGGAUCUCGGGAGGUCACAUCUAGUCCAACCCCCGCUCAAAGCAGAACCAGCUCCAAGCAUCUUGCUCUAACCAAGGCGUUGUCUACCCACGUCAUAAAAGUCUCCAAGAGUGGAGGUUCCACCACCUCUUUGGGCAGCUUGUGCCAGUGCUUCACCAUCCUCUUAGAUGCAGCUGUAUCUGAGAUGCAUGCACCCGCUGUCUAAAGAGAUGAUGGACAUUCAUUCGGUCAUGUGUGUUAAGUUACAUACGUGGUAGCGUUGUGGGAUGGCAUGUACACGCCAAGCCAUGAUGAUUUUUACAGAGUACAUUCAUGCAGUUUGAAUUGUCGUGCUUUGUGUUGCACUGUUCUAGACCAAAUAGAUCUAUUUAAUUUCAAUUUAGCCAUUAUUACUUAGCUUGAGCUUAAAUACUCUGCACGCUUAAUUUAUUGAAAGGUUAUAUAUUUAUAAAAUAUUUAAGCUUUUAAUAUGUGAAGAUGAAUAUAAGUUAUUAAAAAUUAAUUUACAUACACAGUAUCUUUUAAAUUUAGGUGUAAUUAAUGUUUCAUAGUUUCUAGGGUCGGAACAGACCUGAGUAGAUCAUCAAGUCUGAUCCUCUGCCAUGGCAGGAAAGAGCGCUGGGAGCAACUGACCCCAGCCAGCAAGGUAUACAUCCAGCCUC